UACGGAAGGCAGCAGUGGGGAAUAUUGCACAAUGGGCGCAAGCCUGAUGCAGCCAUGCCGCGUGUAUGAAGAAGGCCUUCGGGUUGUAAAGUACUUUCAGUCGUGAGGAAGGUGUUAAGGUUAAUAACCUUAGCAAUUGACGUUAGCGACAGAAGAAGCACCGGCUAACUCCGUGCCAGCAGCCGCGGUAAUACGGAGGGUGCGAGCGCUAAUCGGAAUUACUGGGCGUAAAGGGCACGCAGGCGGUUAAUUAAGUUGGAUGUGAAAUCCCCGGGCUUAACCUGGGAAUGGCAUUCAAGACUGGUUAGCUAGAGUCUUGUAGAGGGGGUAGAAUUCCAUGUGUAGCGGUGAAAUGCGUAGAGAUGUGGAGGAAUACCGGUGGCGAAGGCGGCCCCUGGGACAAAGACUGACGCUCAUGUGCGAAAGCGUGGGGAGCAAACAGGAUUAGGAUACC
RNAcentral lists this ribosomal RNA (454 nucleotides) under uncultured bacterium. Its description in RNAcentral is "bacterial SSU rRNA". It matches the Rfam family "Bacterial small subunit ribosomal RNA", at positions 340 to 786 of the family's 1533-position model. The record is from RNAcentral.